This 519-nucleotide ribosomal RNA is filed under the name Escherichia coli. RNAcentral's name for it is "partial 23S ribosomal RNA". It matches the Rfam family "Bacterial large subunit ribosomal RNA", at positions 1291 to 1795 of the family's 2925-position model. The record is from RNAcentral. Lineage: Bacteria; Pseudomonadati; Pseudomonadota; Gammaproteobacteria; Enterobacterales; Enterobacteriaceae.
CGAAUGCUGACAUAAGUAACGAUAAAGCGGGUGAAAAGCCCGCUCGCCGGAAGACCAAGGGUUCCUGUCCAACGUUAAUCGGGGCAGGGUGAGUCGACCCCUAAGGCGAGGCCGAAAGGCGUAGUCGAUGGGAAACAGGUUAAUAUUCCUGUACUUGGUGUUACUGCGAAGGGGGGACGGAGAAGGCUAUGUUGGCCGGGCGACGGUUGUCCCGGUUUAAGCGUGUAGGCUGGUUUUCCAGGCAAAUCCGGAAAAUCAAGGCUGAGGCGUGAUGACGAGGCACUACGGUGCUGAAGCAACAAAUGCCCUGCUUCCAGGAAAAGCCUCUAAGCAUCAGGUAACAUCAAAUCGUACCCCAAACCGACACAGGUGGUCAGGUAGAGAAUACCAAGGCGCUUGAGAGAACUCGGGUGAAGGAACUAGGCAAAAUGGUGCCGUAACUUCGGGAGAAGGCACGCUGAUAUGUAGGUGAAGUCCCUCGCGGAUGGAGCUGAAAUCAGUCGAAGAUACCAGCUGGCU